AGAAUCAACGCUGGCGGCGUGCCUAACACAUGCAAGUCGAACGAGAAAGUGGAGCAAUCCAUUAGUAAAGUGGCGCACGGGUGAGUAACACGUGACUAACCUACCCUUGAGUGGGGGAUAACCUAGAGAAAUCUGGGCUAAUACCGCAUAAUACCUUCGGGUCAAAAGGAGCAAUUCGCUUAAGGAGGGGGUCGCGGCCGAUUAGUUAGUUGGCGGGGUAAUGGCCCACCAAGACUAUGAUCGGUA
RNAcentral lists this ribosomal RNA (246 nucleotides) under uncultured bacterium. RNAcentral describes it as "partial small subunit ribosomal RNA". It matches the Rfam family "Bacterial small subunit ribosomal RNA", at positions 26 to 285 of the family's 1533-position model. The record is from RNAcentral.